AUUGAACGCUGGCGGCAGGCCUAACACAUGCAAGUCGAGCGGAUGAAGGGAGCUUGCUCCUGGAUUCAGCGGCGGACGGGUGAGUAAUGCCUAGGAAUCUGCCUGGUAGUGGGGGAUAACGUCCGGAAACGGGCGCUAAUACCGCAUACGUCCUGAUGGUGAAAGGGGGGGAUCUUCGGACCUCACGCUAUCAGAUGAGCCUAGGUCGGAUUAGCUAGUUGGUGGGGUAAAGGCCUACCAAGGCGACGAUCCGUAACUGGUCUGAGAGGAUGAUCAGUCACACUGGAACUGAGACACGGUCCAGACUCCUACGGGAGGCAGCAGUGGGGAAUAUUGGACAAUGGGCGAAAGCCUGAUCCAGCCAUGCCGCGUGUAUGAAGAAGGUCUUCGGAUUGUAAAGCACUUUAAGUUGGGAGGAAGGGCAGUAAGUUAAUCCCUUGCUGUUUUGACGUUACCAACAGAAUAAGCACCGGCUAACUUCGUG
This 484-nucleotide ribosomal RNA is filed under the name uncultured bacterium. RNAcentral's name for it is "partial 16S ribosomal RNA". It matches the Rfam family "Bacterial small subunit ribosomal RNA", at positions 30 to 507 of the family's 1533-position model. The record is from RNAcentral.